This 275-nucleotide ribosomal RNA is filed under the name uncultured bacterium. RNAcentral describes it as "partial 16S ribosomal RNA". It matches the Rfam family "Bacterial small subunit ribosomal RNA", at positions 338 to 605 of the family's 1533-position model. The record is from RNAcentral.
CCUACGGGUGGCUGCAGUGGGGAAUAUUGGACAAUGGGCGCAAGCCUGAUCCAGCAAUGCCGCGUGGGUGAAGAAGGCCUUCGGGUUGUAAAGCCCUUUUGUACGGGAAGAAAAGCCUGGGGUGAAUAUCCCCGGGUCAUGACGGUACCGUAAGAAUAAGCACCGGCUAACUUCGUGCCAGCAGCCGCGGUAAUACGAAGGGUGCAAGCGUUAAUCGGAAUUACUGGGCGUAAAGCGUGCGUAGGCGGUUUGUUAAGUCCGAUGUGAAAGCCCUG